AUGUCUCCUCUGCCAUUCUCAGAUGAGGAAGAGGAUGAGGAGGCAGAUGAAGAGGAAGGUGAGGAGGCUGAUGAGGAGGAGGACGAGGAGGACGAGGAGGAGCCUACAGCAGGCGGUCUCCCUGCUGAGACCUGGGCACAGUUGUUCCAGCUGCACCCGGAGAUCCUGGCCCCUGUGCUGCCUGGCUGCGCCAAAAGGCUGAGCACCGUGUUGGGCAUGUACUGGUGGCCAACACUGGCUGCAGAGAGCUUCAUCCAGAACGGCCUGUGUGACAUCGGGCUGGACACUGAGCGGCUGGCAGACCUGAUAUGGCCUGUGCUGAGGGAUGAAGCUGAGCCGUUCAUCCAGGAGCUGGUCGACACCAUCGUGCGCCAAUGCAGCCAGGAGGCCCACAGACUGCUGGGUCUGCAGGGCGCCCACGUGUCUGGGGGGCAGGAGGAAGAACCUGCAGCCUGGGGGCAGGAGGCAGCCGUGUGGCUCCCCUGGGCCCGGAAGCGCCUCCCACGAGUGACCCUCCCAUCAAGGCCCGGACCCUAUGGCAGCACCGCAAGUUCCAGCAGAGAGGAGCAGCCCAGCACAGCAGGGGCUGACAUUCCUGCGAUAAACGAGGAGAUGGAGCCGGCGGCGGCAGCAGCUCCCUCUGCCCAGGGCAGCAGCCCCUCCACUCCCGGCCACUCUCCUGAGAGGGCCCGGCGGCCCCGUAAGAGAAGGGCUGGCAGUGACCUGGACCCACAGCAGCCCUGCAAGAAGCCACCCCGUCUGCAGGGCGUCCACGUGUCCGGAGGGCAGGAGGAGGGCCCUGCAGCCAGCGGGCAGGAGGACAGCUCUGUGGCCGCCCCUGGCCCCGCAGCCUCCCCACAGGUGACCUUCCCAUCAAGGCCCGGACUCUAUGGCAGCCCCUCGACGUCCAUCAGAGAGGAGCAGCCCGGCACGGCAGGGGCCGACAUUCGUGCGGUCCCAGUCACGGCCCCGCCGCACACACGGCGAGGGAAGCGAGCGGCCCCACGAGGAGAUGGAGCAGCUGGCAGCAGCAGAUCCCUCUGCUCAGGGCAGCAGCCCCUCCGCUCCUGGCCGCUCAGCUGUGACGGCCCGGCGGCCCCCUAA
This 1104-nucleotide long non-coding RNA is filed under the name Coturnix japonica (Japanese quail). RNAcentral's name for it is "lncRNA (ENSCJPG00005020268.1)". Lineage: Eukaryota; Metazoa; Chordata; Aves; Galliformes; Phasianidae. The record is from RNAcentral.